This 2522-nucleotide long non-coding RNA is filed under the name Nicotiana tabacum (common tobacco). Its description in RNAcentral is "long non-coding RNA (NTAB_LNC016568)". Lineage: Eukaryota; Viridiplantae; Streptophyta; Magnoliopsida; Solanales; Solanaceae. The record is from RNAcentral.
GUGAUGAUGAUGAUGAGAAUGAUGAUUUUGCUUUUGAUUUUAGUGGUCAGUUGGAGAGAAGUUCUGUAUCAGCUGCUGAUGAGCUUUUUGAUGGUGGAAAAAUCAAGCCUUUGAAAUUGAAGCCACCACCAAGGUUACAGUAUGAAGGCAAACCAUUUGAUUCGCCGAAAUCUCCAAAGAAAAAGUUCAAGCAAGCUUUCUCUCCCCGAAACAAGAAGAAAGAAUUAGAUCCAUUUGCAGCAGCCCUAGAGCAGAGUAGUCGAACAGAAAAUGAUCGUCCUGGUAGGGAAAGAACUCAGAAAUCUACAACUUCUUCAAGGCACAAAAAGACAAGAUCUUUAUCUCCUUUCAGAGCUUCCGAUCUACUGUUUGAUAGUGAAAGCAAGCAAGAAAAUACAAACAUAUCUGAUUCUUCUUCUUCAUUUUCAUCAAUGAUAACACUAUGGUACAGAAAAUGGAAGCUGAAAGACCUGUUUCUAUUCAGAAGCGCGUCAGAGGGUAGAGCAACUAAUAAAGAUCAGUUAAACAGGUUUUUGAAGAAAACUCAUAGUAAAGAGGAUGCGAAGACUUCAAGCUUUAGAUCAACUGGUAGUAGUGUUGGAUCGUCAUCGGUAUCAAGCUCCUUGAGGAAGAGGGAGGUUUCGGCUCAUGAGUUGCAUUACACGUUGAAUAGGGCACUCUCGGAGGAGAUGAAGAGGAAAACUUUCUUGCCAUACAAGAAUGGCGUACUGGGUUGCUUAGGCUUCGUUCCUUCAUUGGAUGAUACAAGUUUUAGAGGUGUUGCUUCUUCUAUGUCCAUGACUCGUCGUUAAUAAGUCUCUAUCUGUAAGAAACCAAAAAACAUUAAAUAGUAAAGUUACUAUGGAUUCGUUUACGUGUUUUUUGGUAAGACUCUUAUAUAUUGUGCAUAAGACAUUCACCCCAAAUCUCCUAUGCAGAAAAUUAUUUCUAUACUACUACUACUACUACCUUUUAGAUAUUAAUCUGGGCACGCUAGAGGAUAGUUCAAUAUUUAGAGAAUUUAUAAACUCGCGACAUGAUGAAAAACAAUAUCUGAUCAACUCAUCAUAACAGUUCAUGUUUAAUUUCUGUGCUCUUAUGUUAAUUACUCGAAUUGCUACACUGCUCGAAUCUCCAGCCCCUCCGAAAACGAGCAUCCCCACAAAAGAAAAAAUGCAUGCUGCUUACACAGAGAAAGCAUCACGUCAUAUAAGGGAAAUGUUCCUUUCCAAUCGAUAGGAUCUUCAUUGUAUAUCAGAGUCCACGAAUAUGCCUUCAUUUUCUUUUGUUUUUGUCGAGGUUAGGUUUUACGUCCCCUCUUUAGUGAUUAAUCUAUGAAUUUUAAUUUACAAGGUAGGGGUCCAUUGCCAAACCCUCUGCCACCUAAAAGAGUGAUUUAAAAAAAAAACAUCACGUGCCGUCUAUAGAAUGAAAAGUUUCUUUCUUGCAACAAACUAGUCCUUUCUUUUUUCAUUUUAUGUGACAUUCUUUUAUUUUUUAUCCUUACAAAAAAUGAUAUAUUUUCUGUUAUUUAGAAAUAAUACAUUUUUAAACUUCUUAUUUUGUGGUUUCGGGACUUGAAACAGGUUUGUUAUGUUAUUUGGAACUCGUGUGUAAAAUUUGGAGUCAUUCCGAGUUGGUUAGACAUGGUUCGACAUGAGUUUUGAAGUUGGAAGUUGACUAGUUCAUUAAGCUUGACUUGAGGUGCGAUUUGUAGUUUUGAUGUUAUUUUGUGUGACUUGAGACCUCGAAUAAGUCUAUGUUAUGUUUUGGGAUUGGUUGGUAUAACUGGACGAGGUCUCAGGGGGCUCGGGAGUGUUUCGGAUAUAUUUUAGUUCAUUUGAGCUUGGUUGGAUAGCUGAAGAUUUGUUGGCGUCUAGAUGUUGAUGUUUGGCGAAAAUCCAUGUUUUUUGCAUGUAAAUUGCUUGCAUUAUGCCUCGAUAUUGUUAAAGUUAGUGCAAAUAUUUGUGACUCAAGCUUAAUAAUGAUGUUUAUAUGUAUAGGGGUCAAUCGGAGGUAAUACGGAAGGAUUGUGCGCAAAUUGAAGCCAAAAGAGAAGAAUUUAGAGGGAGUAUGAUUUUUGGCAUCCAGGUUCGAGCUAGGCCAGGUCAAAAUACAAAAGACAUCACAAGAUAGAGUUGGGCGCCCAGCUUAGCGCGAAGCGCCCUCCGUGGCGCCCAAGCAAGAAACUUUUCCUACUUCGGCUAGGACUUGGUAGUUUCGCCAUUACACUCCCCCAACAUGUAUAAAAGGGGUUCUAAACCUCUUUUUUAGAGGUUAGACAUUAUUAUUCGGGAGGCGAAAGAUGACUGUAACAUUUGCAAAGCACCAGAUCAUACGGGUUCUUCUUCCAUACUUUCUUAGUUUGUAGAUUAAUGCUUUCAAUUAUUAACGUGAUUGUUAGCAUGACUAUGAGUAGCUAAAUUUCUUUCUAGGGUUUUGAUGGAACAUUUUGAAGGAUAAAUUCUUGAUAUGGUUUCAUAUAAUUAGCCUUUGGAUUUCUCUACUUGUUUAAUUACGUG